UCCAGACUUUGAUUCUGGCUCAGAUUGAACGCUGGCGGCAGGCCUAACACAUGCAAGUCGAGCGGUAGAGAGAAGCUUGCUUCUCUUGAGAGCGGCGGACGGGUGAGUAAUGCCUAGGAAUCUGCCUGGUAGUGGGGGAUAACGUUCGGAAACGGACGCUAAUACCGCAUACGUCCUACGGGAGAAAGCAGGGGACCUUCGGGCCUUGCGCUAUCAGAUGAGCCUAGGUCGGAUUAGCUAGUUGGUGGGGUAAUGGCUCACCAAGGCGACGAUCCGUAACUGGUCUGAGAGGAUGAUCAGUCACACUGGAACUGAGACACGGUCCAGACUCCUACGGGAGGCAGCAGUGGGGAAUAUUGGACAAUGGGCGAAAGCCUGAUCCAGCCAUGCCGCGUGUGUGAAGAAGGUCUUCGGAUUGUAAAGCACUUUAAGUUGGGAGGAAGGGCAGUUACCUAAUACGUGAUUGUUUUGACGUUACCGACAGAAUAAGCACCGGCUAACUCUGUGCCAGCAGCCGCGGUAAUACAGAGGGUGCAAGCGUUAAUCGGAAUUACUGGGCGUAAAGCGCGCGUAGGUGGUUAGUUAAGUUGGAUGUGAAAUCCCCGGGCUCAACCUGGGAACUGCAUUCAAAACUGACUGACUAGAGUAUGGUAGAGGGUGGUGGAAUUUCCUGUGUAGCGGUGAAAUGCGUAGAUAUAGGAAGGAACACCAGUGGCGAAGGCGACCACCUGGACUGAUACUGACACUGAGGUGCGAAAGCGUGGGGAGCAAGCAGGAUUAGAUACCCUGGUAGUCCACGCCGUAAACGAUGUCAACUAGCCGUUGGGAGCCUUGAGCUCUUAGUGGCGCAGCUAACGCAUUAAGUUGACCGCCUGGGGAGUACGGCCGCAAGGUUAAAACUCAAAUGAAUUGACGGGGGCCCGCACAAGCGGUGGAGCAUGUGGUUUAAUUCGAAGCAACGCGAAGAACCUUACCAGGCCUUGACAUCCAAUGAACUUUCUAGAGAUAGAUUGGUGCCUUCGGGAACAUUGAGACAGGUGCUGCAUGGCUGUCGUCAGCUCGUGUCGUGAGAUGUUGGGUUAAGUCCCGUAACGAGCGCAACCCUUGUCCUUAGUUACCAGCACGUUAUGGUGGGCACUCUAAGGAGACUGCCGGUGACAAACCGGAGGAAGGUGGGGAUGACGUCAAGUCAUCAUGGCCCUUACGGCCUGGGCUACACACGUGCUACAAUGGUCGGUACAGAGGGUUGCCAAGCCGCGAGGUGGAGCUAAUCCCACAAAACCGAUCGUAGUCCGGAUCGCAGUCUGCAACUCGACUGCGUGAAGUCGGAAUCGCUAGUAAUCGCGAAUCAGAAUGUCGCGGUGAAUACGUUCCCGGGCCUUGUACACACCGCCCGCCACACCAUGGGAGUGGGUUGCACCAGAAGUAGCUAGUCUAACCUUCGGGGGGACGGUUACCACGGUGUGAUUCAUGACUGGGGUGAAGUCGUAACAAG
RNAcentral lists this ribosomal RNA (1495 nucleotides) under Pseudomonas sp. KD2009-27. Its description in RNAcentral is "16S ribosomal RNA". It matches the Rfam family "Bacterial small subunit ribosomal RNA". Lineage: Bacteria; Pseudomonadati; Pseudomonadota; Gammaproteobacteria; Pseudomonadales; Pseudomonadaceae. The record is from RNAcentral.